AUGAACGCUGGCGGCGUGCCUAAUACCUGCAAGUCGAGCGAACAGACGAGGAGCUUGCUCCUCUGACGUUAGCGGCGGACGGGUGAGUAACACGUGGAUAACCUACCUAUAAGACUGGGAUAACUUCGGGAAACCGGAGCUAAUACCGGAUAAUAUAUUGAACCGCAUGGUUCAAUAGUGAAAGACGGUUUUGCUGUCACUUAUAGGUGGAUCCGCGCCGCAUUAGCUAGUUGGUAAGGUAACGGCUUACCAAGGCAACGAUGCGUAGCCGACCUGAGAGGGUGAUCGGCCACCCUGGAACUGAGACACGGUCCAGACUCCUACGGGAGGCAGCAGUAGGGAAUCUUCCGCAAUGGGCGAAAGCCUGACGGGGCAACGCCGCGUGAGUGAUGAAGGUCUUCGGAUCGUAAAACUCUGUUAUUAGGGAAGAACAAAUGUGUAAGUAACUAUGCACGUCUUGACGGUACCUAAUCAGAAAGCCACGGCUAACUACGUG
This 496-nucleotide ribosomal RNA is filed under the name uncultured bacterium. RNAcentral describes it as "partial 16S ribosomal RNA". It matches the Rfam family "Bacterial small subunit ribosomal RNA", at positions 29 to 507 of the family's 1533-position model. The record is from RNAcentral.